GAUGAACGCUAGCUACAGGCUUAACACAUGCAAGUCCGAGGGGCAGCAUUUUAGUUUGCUUUGCAAACUGAAGAUGGCGACCGGCGCACGGGUGAGUAACACGUAUCCAACCUGCCGAUAACUCCGGGAUAGCCUUUCGAAAGAAAGAUUAAUACCGGAUAGUAUACGAAUAUCGCAUGAUAUUUUUAUUAAAGAAUUUCGGUUAUCGAUGGGGAUGCGUUCCAUUAGUUUGUUGGCGGGGUAACGGCCCACCAAGACUACGAUGGAUAGGGGUUCUGAGAGGAAGGUCCCCCACAUUGGAACUGAGACACGGUCCAAACUCCUACGGGAGGCAGCAGUGAGGAAUAUUGGUCAAUGGGCGCGAGCCUGAACCAGCCAAGUAGCGUGAAGGAUGAAGGCUCUAUGGGUCGUAAACUUCUUUUAUAUGGGAAUAAAGUUUUCCACGUGUGGAAUUUUGUAUGUACCAUAUGAAUAAGGAUCGGCUAACUCCGUGCCAGCAGCCGCGGUAAUACGGAGGAUUCCGAGCGUUAUCCGGAUUUAUUGGGUUUAAAGGGAGCGUAGGUGGAUUGUUAAGUCAGCUGUGAAAGUUUGCGGCUCAACCGUAAAAUUGCAGUUGAAACUGGCAGUCUUGAGUACAGUAGAGGUGGGCGGAAUUCGUGGUGUAGCGGUGAAAUGCUUAGAUAUCACGAAGAACUCCGAUUGCGAAGGCAGCUCACUAGACUGUCACUGACACUGAUGCUCGAAAGUGUGGGUAUCAAACAGGAUUAGAUACCCUGGUAGUCCACACAGUAAACGAUGAAUACUCGCUGUUUGCGAUAUACAGUAAGCGGCCAAGCGAAAGCAUUAAGUAUUCCACCUGGGGAGUACGCCGGCAACGGUGAAACUCAAAGGAAUUGACGGGGGCCCGCACAAGCGGAGGAACAUGUGGUUUAAUUCGAUGAUACGCGAGGAACCUUACCCGGGCUUAAAUUGCAACAGAAUAUAUUGGAAACAGUAUAGCCGUAAGGCUGUUGUGAAGGUGCUGCAUGGUUGUCGUCAGCUCGUGCCGUGAGGUGUCGGCUUAAGUGCCAUAACGAGCGCAACCCUUAUCUUUAGUUACUAACAGGUUAUGCUGAGGACUCUAGAGAGACUGCCGUCGUAAGAUGUGAGGAAGGUGGGGAUGACGUCAAAUCAGCACGGCCCUUACGUCCGGGGCUACACACGUGUUACAAUGGGGGGUACAGAAGGCGGCUACCUGGUGACAGGAUGCUAAUCCCAAAAACCUCUCUCAGUUCGGAUCGAAGUCUGCAACCCGACUUCGUGAAGCUGGAUUCGCUAGUAAUCGCGCAUCAGCCAUGGCGCGGUGAAUACGUUCCCGGGCCU
This 1362-nucleotide ribosomal RNA is filed under the name uncultured bacterium. RNAcentral's name for it is "bacterial SSU rRNA". It matches the Rfam family "Bacterial small subunit ribosomal RNA", at positions 28 to 1381 of the family's 1533-position model. The record is from RNAcentral.